UGCGAGUUGGAUGGGAUACCUAAACUUCCCAUAGCAAACUGCUUAGUAACACAUGAUCAACUUGCCCUAUGGAGAAAAAUAACCUCGGGAAACUGAGGAUAAUGUUUCAUAGUUGAAUAGGCUUGGAAAAGUUUUUCAAUGAAAGGAAUAAGAUAAAUGGUUCUUAUUUGCCAUAGGAUAGGAUCGUGGUCGAUUAUGGUAGUUGGUGAGAUAACGGCUCACCAAGCCGAUAAUCGAUAGGGGCCGUGAGAGCGGGAGCCCCAAGAUGGGUACUGAGACAGCGACCCAGGCCUUACGAGGCGCAGCAGGCGCGAGACCUCCGCAAUACACGAAAGUGUGACGGGGUUACCCAAAGUGUUCUCUUAAGAACUGUGGUAGGUGAGUAAUGUCCCCUACUAGAAAGGAGAGGGCAAGGCUGGUGCCAGCCGCCGCGGUAAAACCAGCUCUUCAAGUGGUCGGGAUAAUUAUUGGGCUUAAAGUGUCCGUAGCCGGUUUAGUAAGUUCCUGGUAAAAUCGGGUAGCUUAACUAUCUGCAUGCUAGGAAUACUGCUAUACUAGAGGGCGGGAGAGGUCUGAGGUACUACAGGGGUAGGGGUGAAAUCUUAUAAUCCUUGUAGGACCACCAGUGGCGAAGGCGUCAGACUGGAACGCGCCUGACGGUGAGGGACGAAAGCCAGGGGAGCGAACCGGAUUAGAUACGUCGGUGCUAGAAUAAUAAAUUAAAUUAACUAACACCAUGCUAAAAACCCGG
RNAcentral lists this ribosomal RNA (751 nucleotides) under uncultured archaeon. RNAcentral's name for it is "bacterial SSU rRNA". It matches the Rfam family "Archaeal small subunit ribosomal RNA", at positions 52 to 794 of the family's 1478-position model. The record is from RNAcentral.